This 466-nucleotide ribosomal RNA is filed under the name uncultured bacterium. RNAcentral describes it as "partial 16S ribosomal RNA". It matches the Rfam family "Bacterial small subunit ribosomal RNA", at positions 28 to 507 of the family's 1533-position model. The record is from RNAcentral.
GAUGAACGCUGGCGGCGUGCUUAACACAUGCAAGUCGAACGGAAAGGCCCUGCUUGCAGGGUACUCGAGUGGCGAACGGGUGAGUAUCACGUGGGUGAUCUGCCCUGUACUUUGGGAUAAGCCUGUUAAACUGGGUCUAAUACCUACUAUGACAAUUGUUUAACUGCGAUGGUGGAAAGCUUUUGCGGGUUGGGAUGAGCUCGCGGCCUAUCAGCUUGUUGGUGGGGUAAUGGCCUACCAAGACGUCGACGGGUAGCCGGCCUGAGAGGGUGUACGGCCACAUUGGGACUGAGAUACGGGCCAGAGUCGUACGGGAGGCAGCAGUGGGGAAUAUUGCACAAUGGGAGCAAGCCUGAUGCAGCGACGCCGCGUGGGGGAUGACGGCCUUUGGGUUGUAAACUCCUUUCGCAACCGAAGAAGCCUUUUGGUGACGGUAGGUUGAGAAGAAGCACCGGCUAACUACGUG